UUCAUGCUCCUCUGCCGAAACGAAAACGCAAUCAAGCCUUCUGCUUCUGCGUCGUCUGUCAAUGCGAGACCUCUGCCUUUAAAUAGCGACGCUCAAACGCUGGCCCACCAUUCACUUGAGCCGCCAGAACAUUUACUCCUUUCAGCUUUCUGAAGCACGACUUUCUUUUCGUCGUUUUCGAAGACCACUGUCCUCCGGCACUCCAACGAUGCAGAUGUACGGAAGUGUAAACCUCGAACUCGCCCUCACUGUGGCAGCUGUACUCUACGGGUACACGGCAGCGGAAGACUGUUCCACAGAAGUCUGCAGUUAUUGGAACAUAUUGGACACGUUCAAGUUUUUCAUCUUGGAUGCCACUUCCGACCAGCAGCUGGAUCUGAGCUGCUUGACUGUUAAAAAAAAUGGGCGUACACAUAAACUAAUAACUACCGAUUCCACGACUGAAGAGAGCAUUCACGCCUCCUACAAGGCCAAGUACAUCAACA
This 485-nucleotide long non-coding RNA is filed under the name Dermacentor andersoni. Its description in RNAcentral is "uncharacterized LOC126527698". Lineage: Eukaryota; Metazoa; Arthropoda; Arachnida; Ixodida; Ixodidae. The record is from RNAcentral.